Molecule: long non-coding RNA, 1197 nt
Organism: Drosophila montana
Lineage: Eukaryota; Metazoa; Arthropoda; Insecta; Diptera; Drosophilidae
Exons: 3
Source: RefSeq, a predicted model, not a curated record
AAUGGCAAAGGCUACGUUAAUCUGUUUGCAUGUUAAGCGGCAUUCAGAAUUAGCCCCCGCUUAUGCCAUAAAUCGUAUCGCGAAGAGAGCGUUAAACGUUGGUCAAACAACAAAUAUCAAGUUUUAUUGACCCACAAAUAACGUGCAGAUAAUUACAAAAACAAUGGCAACCGCUGCCGGCUAGUUGUUGGCCAAAACAAAUGCGCAAGUGGUCUUUGCCAUGGGUAUUUGUGGGCCCUCAGCGCCGGUGGUGGAGGUGGUGUGUUGGUGGAAUAACAUGGCAAAGUGGAAAAACUACUUACAAGUAUGUUAACAUGCGCAAUUGUUGGGACCCAUUGCCGUUGUCUUGUAGCCCUUAGGGUGGCCCGAGCCCAAGCCAAGCCAAGACGAAUGCUCGAGUUUAUCUGUUGUGGUCAUGGCAAAAAGUAAUCCAAAAGAUAAAAUACAAUAAAAUAAAAGGCCAAGCGCGCUGCAUUUGUGGGCAGGUCGCUUAGACAAUACCUUCGAGCAUCUCGUGUAUUGUUGUUGUGUGUGCAUAAUUUAUAAGGCAAGCUUCUCAUGUUUUUGGCUAAAUUAUUUUCCUGGGCCCGGCACGUGCUACGCUGCCUGGUCGCAGAUUCAAUGGCUCGGGCGCAAAGGCUCCAGGUCAACAAUUUGGUCAUAAAUUUUGGCGCCUGGCCUGCGACACGCUCUAUGACAUUAUUGAACCCGAAAGGGGAUAUGGCCAAACAAAAACAGCAGCAACAGCCAGCGGCCAAAAGCACAUAAGCCAACCAGUUGACCUUGAAAAUGUGUGCGAGACCAUAAAGACUGAAUAGUGAACUGCAUAAAAAGGUUUCUGUAAUAGAUAUACCAACUCAAAGUUAAUCAAAAGAAAAUUAAAGCAAUUGAGCUAAUAAAAAUAAGCAACACAUAUACAAAGAUACUUUUUACUUGAUCGAAAUGAGCUUUAUUUAAAACUAUGCGAUUCAGUUUGGAAAUUUAACUAGCUGACAUUCCAAGACUCGGAAAGCAUAAUAUGCUGCGUCACAUAAGCAGGGGCAAGCCCCACCUGAAAAUGUUUGUAUAAGCCUUAGCAAGCCAACAGCAAAAGAAAAAGAACCUGAACGGACUUCGUACUCUGGGAGCGGUAAAAAUUAACUUUGACUCAAUUUGGCUGCCUACAGUUCUGGCCAACGAAAGAUAAAGUACAAGAAA